UUUAUGGAGAGUUUGAUCCUGGCUCAGGAUGAACGCUGGCGGCGUGCCUAAUACAUGCAAGUCGAGCGAACGGACGAGAAGCUUGCUUCUCUGAUGUUAGCGGCGGACGGGUGAGUAACACGUGGAUAACCUACCUAUAAGACUGGGAUAACUUCGGGAAACCGGAGCUAAUACCGGAUGAUAUUUUGAACCGCAUGGUUCAAAAGUGAAAGACGGUCUUGCUGUCACUUAUAGAUGGAUCCGCGCUGCAUUAGCUAGUUGGUAAGGUAACGGCUUACCAAGGCAACGAUGCAUAGCCGACCUGAGAGGGUGAUCGGCCACACUGGAACUGAGACACGGUCCAGACUCCUACGGGAGGCAGCAGUAGGGAAUCUUCCGCAAUGGGCGAAAGCCUGACGGAGCAACGCCGCGUGAGUGAUGAAGGUCUUCGGAUCGUAAAACUCUGUUAUUAGGGAAGAACAUAUGUGUAAGUAACUGUGCACAUCUUGACGGUACCUAAUCAGAAAGCCACGGCUAACUACGUGCCAGCAGCCGCGGUAAUACGUAGGUGGCAAGCGUUAUCCGGAAUUAUUGGGCGUAAAGCGCGCGUAGGCGGUUUUUUAAGUCUGAUGUGAAAGCCCACGGCUCAACCGUGGAGGGUCAUUGGAAACUGGAAAACUUGAGUGCAGAAGAGGAAAGUGGAAUUCCAUGUGUAGCGGUGAAAUGCGCAGAGAUAUGGAGGAACACCAGUGGCGAAGGCGACUUUCUGGUCUGUAACUGACGCUGAUGUGCGAAAGCGUGGGGAUCAAACAGGAUUAGAUACCCUGGUAGUCCACGCCGUAAACGAUGAGUGCUAAGUGUUAGGGGGUUUCCGCCCCUUAGUGCUGCAGCUAACGCAUUAAGCACUCCGCCUGGGGAGUACGACCGCAAGGUUGAAACUCAAAGGAAUUGACGGGACCCGCACAAGCGGUGGAGCAUGUGGUUUAAUUCGAAGCAACGCGAAGAACCUUACCAAAUCUUGACAUCCUUUGACAACUCUAGAGAUAGAGCCUUCCCCUUCGGGGGACAAAGUGACAGGUGGUGCAUGGUUGUCGUCAGCUCGUGUCGUGAGAUGUUGGGUUAAGUCCCGCAACGAGCGCAACCCUUAAGCUUAGUUGCCAUCAUUAAGUUGGGCACUCUAAGUUGACUGCCGGUGACAAACCGGAGGAAGGUGGGGAUGACGUCAAAUCAUCAUGCCCCUUAUGAUUUGGGCUACACACGUGCUACAAUGGACAAUACAAAGGGCAGCGAAACCGCGAGGUCAAGCAAAUCCCAUAAAGUUGUUCUCAGUUCGGAUUGUAGUCUGCAACUCGACUACAUGAAGCUGGAAUCGCUAGUAAUCGUAGAUCAGCAUGCUACGGUGAAUACGUUCCCGGGUCUUGUACACACCGCCCGUCACACCACGAGAGUUUGUAACACCCGAAGCCGGUGGAGUAACCUUUUAGGAGCUAGCCGUCGAAGGUGGGACAAAUGAUUGGGGUGAAGUCGUAACAAGGUAGCCGUAUCGGAAGGUGCGGCUGGAUCACCUCCUUUCU
RNAcentral lists this ribosomal RNA (1553 nucleotides) under Staphylococcus aureus. RNAcentral's name for it is "16S ribosomal RNA". It matches the Rfam family "Bacterial small subunit ribosomal RNA". The record is from RNAcentral. Lineage: Bacteria; Bacillati; Bacillota; Bacilli; Caryophanales; Staphylococcaceae.